This 234-nucleotide ribosomal RNA is filed under the name uncultured Lactobacillus sp. Its description in RNAcentral is "partial 16S ribosomal RNA". It matches the Rfam family "Bacterial small subunit ribosomal RNA", at positions 128 to 355 of the family's 1533-position model. The record is from RNAcentral. Lineage: Bacteria; Bacillati; Bacillota; Bacilli; Lactobacillales; Lactobacillaceae.
GCCCAAGAGAUCGGGAUAACACCUGGAAACAGAUGCUAAUACCGGAUAACAACAGAUGAUGCCUAUCAACUGUUUAAAAGAUGGUUCUGCUAUCACUCUUGGAUGGACCUGCGGUGCAUUAGCUAGUUGGUAGGGUAACGGCCUACCAAGGCGAUGAUGCAUAGCCGAGUUGAGAGACUGAUCGGCCACAUUGGGACUGAGGCACGGCCCAAACUCCUACGGGAGGCAGCAGCC